AUGGUGGUCAUCUCCUCCUCUUUUGAGAGAAAUUUUCCCUCAAUCUACCUUCAUUCUCAUGUUCUCACCAUAACUAAGUCUCUUACUGGUCACUUUCUCUCUCUACCACGAACAACCACCAAGCUUCCCUUGUUGUUUUUGGGACCGCCACAACCACCAGAAAAUAACAAGGUUGUUAAGGGGCUUCUUCACAUUUCAAACGUAACAAUGGUGUAUGCUUCUCUCUCCCUCUGA
Vicia faba (fava bean) is the source of this 234-nucleotide non-coding RNA. Lineage: Eukaryota; Viridiplantae; Streptophyta; Magnoliopsida; Fabales; Fabaceae. The record is from the annotation of a GenBank genome assembly.